Molecule: ribosomal RNA, 2933 nt
Filed under: Salmonella enterica subsp. enterica serovar Newport str. WA_14882
Lineage: Bacteria; Pseudomonadati; Pseudomonadota; Gammaproteobacteria; Enterobacterales; Enterobacteriaceae
Description: bacterial LSU rRNA
Rfam family: Bacterial large subunit ribosomal RNA
Source: RNAcentral
GGGUUGUGAGGUUAAGCGACUAAGCGUACACGGUGGAUGCCCUGGCAGUCAGAGGCGAUGAAGGGCGUGCUAAUCUGCGAUAAGCGCCGGUAAGGUGAUAUGAACCGUUAUAACCGGCGAUACCCGAAUGGGGAAACCCAGUGUGACUCGUCACACUAUCAUUAACUGAAUCCAUAGGUUAAUGAGGCGAACCGGGGGAACUGAAACAUCUAAGUACCCCGAGGAAAAGAAAUCAACCGAGAUUCCCCCAGUAGCGGCGAGCGAACGGGGAGGAGCCCAGAGCCUGAAUCAGCAUGUGUGUUAGUGGAAGCGUCUGGAAAGGCGCGCGAUACAGGGUGACAGCCCCGUACACAAAAGCGCAUGUGCUGUGAGCUCGAUGAGUAGGGCGGGACACGUGGUAUCCUGUCUGAAUAUGGGGGGACCAUCCUCCAAGGCUAAAUACUCCUGACUGACCGAUAGUGAACCAGUACCGUGAGGGAAAGGCGAAAAGAACCCCGGCGAGGGGAGUGAAAAAGAACCUGAAACCGUGUACGUACAAGCAGUGGGAGCACAGGUUUACCUGUGUGACUGCGUACCUUUUGUAUAAUGGGUCAGCGACUUAUAUUCUGUAGCAAGGUUAACCGUAUAGGGGAGCCGGAGGGAAACCGAGUCUUAAUUGGGCGUUAAGUUGCAGGGUAUAGACCCGAAACCCGGUGAUCUAGCCAUGGGCAGGUUGAAGGUUGGGUAACACUAACUGGAGGACCGAACCGACUAAUGUUGAAAAAUUAGCGGAUGACCUGUGGCUGGGGGUGAAAGGCCAAUCAAACCGGGAGAUAGCUGGUUCUCCCCGAAAGCUAUUUAGGUAGCGCCUCGUGAAUUCAUCUCCGGGGGUAGAGCACUGUUUCGGCUAGGGGGCCAUCCCGGCUUACCAACCCGAUGCAAACUGCGAAUACCGGAGAAUGUUAUCACGGGAGACACACGGCGGGUGCUAACGUCCGUCGUGAAGAGGGAAACAACCCAGACCGCCAGCUAAGGUCCCAAAGUCAUGGUUAAGUGGGAAACGAUGUGGGAAGGCCCAGACAGCCAGGAUGUUGGCUUAGAAGCAGCCAUCAUUUAAAGAAAGCGUAAUAGCUCACUGGUCGAGUCGGCCUGCGCGGAAGAUGUAACGGGGCUAAACCAUGCACCGAAGCUGCGGCAGCGACACUGUGUGUUGUUGGGUAGGGGAGCGUUCUGUAAGCCUGUGAAGGUGUGUCGUGAGGCAUGCUGGAGGUAUCAGAAGUGCGAAUGCUGACAUAAGUAACGAUAAAGCGGGUGAAAAGCCCGCUCGCCGGAAGACCAAGGGUUCCUGUCCAACGUUAAUCGGGGCAGGGUGAGUCGACCCCUAAGGCGAGGCCGAAAGGCGUAGUCGAUGGGAAACAGGUUAAUAUUCCUGUACUUGGUGUUACUGCGAAGGGGGGACGGAGAAGGCUAUGUUGGCCGGGCGACGGUUGUCCCGGUUUAAGCGUGUAGGUGUGUGUUCCAGGUAAAUCCGGUUCACUUUAACACUGAGGCGUGAUGACGAGGCACUACGGUGCUGAAGCAACAAAUGCCCUGCUUCCAGGAAAAGCCUCUAAGCAUCAGGUAACAUCAAAUCGUACCCCAAACCGACACAGGUGGUCAGGUAGAGAAUACCAAGGCGCUUGAGAGAACUCGGGUGAAGGAACUAGGCAAAAUGGUGCCGUAACUUCGGGAGAAGGCACGCUGACACGUAGGUGAAGUGAUUUACUCAUGGAGCUGAAGUCAGUCGAAGAUACCAGCUGGCUGCAACUGUUUAUUAAAAACACAGCACUGUGCAAACACGAAAGUGGACGUAUACGGUGUGACGCCUGCCCGGUGCCGGAAGGUUAAUUGAUGGGGUCAGCGCAAGCGAAGCUCCUGAUCGAAGCCCCGGUAAACGGCGGCCGUAACUAUAACGGUCCUAAGGUAGCGAAAUUCCUUGUCGGGUAAGUUCCGACCUGCACGAAUGGCGUAAUGAUGGCCAGGCUGUCUCCACCCGAGACUCAGUGAAAUUGAACUCGCUGUGAAGAUGCAGUGUACCCGCGGCAAGACGGAAAGACCCCGUGAACCUUUACUAUAGCUUGACACUGAACAUUGAGCCUUGAUGUGUAGGAUAGGUGGGAGGCUUUGAAGCGUGGACGCCAGUCUGCGUGGAGCCGACCUUGAAAUACCACCCUUUAAUGUUUGAUGUUCUAACGUGGACCCGUUACCCGGGUUGCGGACAGUGUCUGGUGGGUAGUUUGACUGGGGCGGUCUCCUCCUAAAGAGUAACGGAGGAGCACGAAGGUUGGCUAAUCCUGGUCGGACAUCAGGAGGUUAGUGCAAUGGCAUAAGCCAGCUUGACUGCGAGCGUGACGGCGCGAGCAGGUGCGAAAGCAGGUCAUAGUGAUCCGGUGGUUCUGAAUGGAAGGGCCAUCGCUCAACGGAUAAAAGGUACUCCGGGGAUAACAGGCUGAUACCGCCCAAGAGUUCAUAUCGACGGCGGUGUUUGGCACCUCGAUGUCGGCUCAUCACAUCCUGGGGCUGAAGUAGGUCCCAAGGGUAUGGCUGUUCGCCAUUUAAAGUGGUACGCGAGCUGGGUUUAGAACGUCGUGAGACAGUUCGGUCCCUAUCUGCCGUGGGCGCUGGAGAACUGAGGGGGGCUGCUCCUAGUACGAGAGGACCGGAGUGGACGCAUCACUGGUGUUCGGGUUGUCAUGCCAAUGGCACUGCCCGGUAGCUAAAUGCGGAAGAGAUAAGUGCUGAAAGCAUCUAAGCACGAAACUUGCCCCGAGAUGAGUUCUCCCUGAGACUUAGAGUCUCCUGAAGGAACGUUGAAGACGACGACGUUGAUAGGCCGGGUGUGUAAGCGCAGCGAUGCGUUGAGCUAACCGGUACUAAUGAACCGUGAGGCUUAACCUUACAACGCCGAAGCUGUU